GAUGAAGAACGUAGUGAAAUGCGAUACGUAAUGUGAAUUGCAGAAUUCAGUGAAUCAUCGAAUCUUUGAACGCAUAUUGCGCUCUUUGGUAUUCCGAAGAGCAUGCUUGUUUGAGUAUCAGUAAACACCUCAACCUCUUCUUGAUUUUUCAAAAGGAGGGUGGACUUGAGCUAUCCCAACAACCUUUACCGGUCGGCGGGCGGCUUGAAAUGCAGGUGCAGCUGGACUUUUAUCUGAGCUAAAAGCAUAUCUAUUUAGUCCUCGUCAAACAGGAUUAUUACUUUUGCUGCAGCUAACAUAAAGGAUAAUUGUCCUCUUUGCUGACUGAUGCAGGAUUUUACGACACUUUAUGUGUUGUUCAACUCGAUCUCAAAUCAAGUAAGACUACCCACUGAACUUAAGCAUAUCAAUAAGCGGAGGA
RNAcentral lists this unclassified non-coding RNA (421 nucleotides) under soil metagenome. RNAcentral describes it as "partial contains 5.8S ribosomal RNA, internal transcribed spacer 2, and large subunit ribosomal RNA". The stretch from base 1 to 120 matches the Rfam family "5.8S ribosomal RNA", at positions 35 to 154 of the family's 154-position model. The record is from RNAcentral.